Molecule: ribosomal RNA, 700 nt
Filed under: uncultured Nitrospira sp.
Lineage: Bacteria; Pseudomonadati; Nitrospirota; Nitrospiria; Nitrospirales; Nitrospiraceae
Description: bacterial SSU rRNA
Rfam family: Bacterial small subunit ribosomal RNA
Source: RNAcentral
UCGAGCGAGAAGACGUAGCCAAUACGUUUGUAAAGCGGCGAACGGGUGAGGAAUACAUGGGUAACCUACCCUAGAGUGGGGAAUAACUAGCCGAAAGGUUAGCUAAUACCGCGUACGCUCCCUGGACUUCGGUUCAGGGGGGAAAGCGCUACCGAGGGUAGCGCGCUCUUGGAUGGGCUCAUGUCCUAUCAGCUUGUUGGUGAGGUAACGGCUCACCAAGGCUUCGACGGGUAGCUGGUCUGAGAGGACGAUCAGCCACACUGGCACUGCGACACGGGCCAGACUCCUACGGGAGGCAGCAGUAAGGAAUAUUGCGCAAUGGGCGAAAGCCUGACGCAGCGACGCCGCGUGGGGGAUGAAGGUCUUCGGAUUGUAAACCCCUUUCGGGAGGGAAGAUGGAGUGGGGUAACCCACUCGGACGGUACCUCCAGAAGCAGCCACGGCUAACUUCGUGCCAGCAGCCGCGGUAAUACGAAGGUGGCAAGCGUUAUUCGGAUUUACUGGGCGUACAGGGAGCGUAGGCGGUUCGGUAAGCCCUCUGUGAAAUCUUCAGGCUUAACCUGGAAAAGUCGGAGGGGACUGCCGGGCUAGAGGACGGGAGAGGAGCGCGGAAUUCCCGGUGUAGCGGUGAAAUGCGUAGAGAUCGGGAGGAAGGCUGGUGGCGAAGGCGGCGCUCUGGAACGUUUCUGACGCUGAGGCU